AUUGAACGCUGGCGGCGUGCUUAACACAUGCAAGUCGUGCGGUAACAGGCGUAGCAAUACGUGCUGACGAGCGGCGAACGGGUGCGUAAUACAUGGGAAUCUGCCCUUUAGUGGGGAAUAACCCGGCGAAAGCCGGGCUAAUGCCGCAUAAGAUCUUCGGAUGAAAGCGGGGGAUCGUAAGACCUCGCGCUGAUGGAUGAGCCCAUGUCGGAUUAGCAGUUGGUGAGGUAAAGGCUCACCAAGGCGACGAUCCGUAGCUGGUCUGAGAGGACGGCCAGCCACACUGGGACUGAGACACGGCCCAGACUCCUACGGGAGGCAGCAGUGGGGAAUAUUGGACAAGUGGGGAAACCCUGAUCCAGCGACGCCGCGUGUGUGAAGAAGGCC
Molecule: ribosomal RNA, 387 nt
Filed under: uncultured bacterium
Lineage: Bacteria
Description: bacterial SSU rRNA
Rfam family: Bacterial small subunit ribosomal RNA
Source: RNAcentral